AGCGAACGCUGGCGGCAGGCUUAACACAUGCAAGUCGAACGGGCAUAGCAAUAUGUCAGUGGCAGACGGGUGAGUAACGCGUGGGAACGUACCUUUUGGUUCGGAACAACACAGGGAAACUUGUGCUAAUACCGGAUAAGCCCUUACGGGGAAAGAUUUAUCGCCGAAAGAUCGGCCCGCGUCUGAUUAGCUAGUUGGUAGGGUAAUGGCCUACCAAGGCGACGAUCAGUAGCUGGUCUGAGAGGAUGAUCAGCCACAUUGGGACUGAGACACGGCCCAAACUCGUACGGGAGGCAGCAGUGGGGAAUAUUGGACAAUGGGCGAAAGCCUGAUCCAGCCAUGCCGCGUGAGUGAUGAAGGCCCUAGGGUUGUAAAGCUCUUUUGUGCGGGAAGAUAAUGACGGUACCGCAAGAAUAAGCCCCGGCUAACUUCGUG
RNAcentral lists this ribosomal RNA (435 nucleotides) under uncultured bacterium. Its description in RNAcentral is "partial 16S ribosomal RNA". It matches the Rfam family "Bacterial small subunit ribosomal RNA", at positions 29 to 507 of the family's 1533-position model. The record is from RNAcentral.